UGGGUUGGAAGAUGGGGUGACCACAGAAG
This 29-nucleotide non-coding RNA is filed under the name Homo sapiens (human). The record is from RNAcentral. Lineage: Eukaryota; Metazoa; Chordata; Mammalia; Primates; Hominidae.